AGUGGCGCACGGGUGAGUAAUGCAUGGGUGACCUGCCUUAGAGAGGGGGAUAACCAGACGAAAGUCUGGCUAAUACCGCAUACGGAAUCGAGAGUGAGUUAUCGAUUCGAAACGGAGGGGACCGCAAGGCCUUCCGCUCUGAGAGGGGCUCAUGUCCCAUUAGCUAGUUGGUGAGGUAACGGCUCACCAAGGCCGAGAUGGGUAGCUGGUCUGAGAGGACGAUCAGCCACACUGGAACUGAGACACGGUCCAGACUCCUACGGGAGGCAGCAGUGGGGAAUAUUGCGCAAUGGGGGAAACCCUGACGCAGCAACGCCGCGUGAGUGAUGAAGGCCUUCGGGUUGUAAAGCUCUUUCGGUUGGGAAGAAGGGUGUGCGAGCUAAUAAUUCGUACAUUUGAUGGUACCAAAAGAAGAAGCACCGGCUAACUUCGUGCCAGCAGCCGCGGUAAUACGAAGGGUGCGAGCGUUGUUCGGAAUUACUGGGCGUAAAGGGUUCGUAGGCGGGAACGUGAGUCGAAUGUGAAAACCCUGGGCUUAACCUGGGACGUGCAUUCGAUACUGCGUUUCUUGAGUUCUGGAGAGGGUGGUGGAAUUGCUGGUGUAGGAGUGACAUCCGUAGAGAUCAGCAGGAACGCCGGAGGCGAAAGCGACCGCCUGGCCAGACACUGACGCUGAGGAACGAAAGCGUGGGGAGCAAACAGGAUUAGAUACCCUGGUAGUCCACGCCGUAAACGAUGAUGACUGGAUGUUGGGGGAGUUUGACCCUUCAGUAUCGAAGUUCACACGGUAAGUCAU
This 796-nucleotide ribosomal RNA is filed under the name uncultured Pseudomonadota bacterium. RNAcentral describes it as "bacterial SSU rRNA". It matches the Rfam family "Bacterial small subunit ribosomal RNA", at positions 94 to 868 of the family's 1533-position model. Lineage: Bacteria; Pseudomonadati; Pseudomonadota. The record is from RNAcentral.